Molecule: long non-coding RNA, 166 nt
Organism: Syngnathus acus (greater pipefish)
Lineage: Eukaryota; Metazoa; Chordata; Actinopteri; Syngnathiformes; Syngnathidae
Exons: 3
Source: RefSeq, a predicted model, not a curated record
GUACAAACCUUUUAUGCAAUGACCUUUACCUGUCAUUUCUAUUACUUCACACAAACACUACAUCCAUCUGCUCCUGGUUCGGCCCCCCGGUCUAAAUUUGGAACCAAAUUCGGCCCGCCAGUCAAAAAGUUUGCCCACCCCUGGCCUAAACCUUUCACAAUCAGUG